GCACCCGCCAGCUUUGCAACAGCCCUGUCACCCCACUUGGAGGGAGCACAGGAGGGUUUGGCACCUUGUUCUGGUGCCUUUUGAGCAUCCAGCACCUCUAGGUGCUCUUCGUAUUCGCGCCGUGUGAGAUGGAGGUGUCCUGGAGAGGGAGACAAGCCUCACACAUUUCUCUGUAGGCUUCGGGCAUGAAAACACCUGGAUCGGGCUCAAUGACCGGAUCGUGGAGCAGGACUUCCAGUGGACAGACAACACCGGCUUGCAAUAUGAGAACUGGCGGGAGAACCAGCCUGACAACUUCUUUGCGGGCGGUGAGGACUGCGUGGUGCUGGUGUCCCACGAGAUUGGCAAAUGGAACGACGUGCCCUGCAAUUACAAUCUGCCCUACAUCUGCAAGAAAGGCACAGGCACCAUCCCCAUCCCACGGCCCCAUCAUCUCACCAGGCACCAUCCACAUCCUGUGGCCCCGGCAUCCAUCACAGGUACCAUCCCCAUCCCACAGCCCAGCAUCCCUCCCCAGGCACCAUCUCCAUCCCAUGGCCCCAUCAUCUCACCAGGUACCAUCCCC
Non-coding RNA from Struthio camelus australis, 565 nucleotides. The record is from RefSeq and is a predicted model, not a curated record. NCBI's taxonomy places the organism in Eukaryota, Metazoa, Chordata, Aves, Struthioniformes, Struthionidae.